GGAGCCUGAGGGGGAGACUACAUUAUAUUCUACAGCUACUGAAAGGAGUUUGCGGCAAGGAGGAUGUUGAUCUCUUUUUCCCAGGUGGCAAGUGAUAGGACCCAGAGAAGGGCCUCAAGUUGUCCUACAGGAGGUUCAAAUAGGAUAUUGGGAAGAAUUUUUUCGUGGAGAGAGUGAUCAAGCUUUGGAACAGACUGCCCAGGGCAGUGCAGUCCCCCUCCCUGGAGGGCAAGCUCUGCCAGCAGUGUGGAUCUGCAGGAGCCAGGAGCAGCAGGGGAUGUGCGGGCACCUGAAAGAUGCACCUCAGCUUUCCAGAGCCAAGCAAACCAGGCAUUAGCUCACAUGCACAACUUCCCAGCAUCCUUGCUGAAGGACCACGUGCUCCUCCACUAGCCACCAUCCCACAGUGGGUACCACGAGUGAAUUUGGGGCUGCAGACGUUGGGGGAAGCUCCUGCUAUACAACCUGCAUCCUCUUUCCCUUUUUCCCCAGUGGCCAAUGACAAAGAGUACCUCUUUUUCCCACGUUAUCGAUCUCUGGGCUAUGACACCCAGUGAACUUCUGUCCCUUUGUUCAGCCAAUCUGCUGAUGCUUUUUUUUUUUUUUUACAACAGAGAUGUAUUUGAACUAGGGAGACACUUUCUAUUGAUGAAAGCAAUACAAUCCAUCUGGCCCCUAGUGCUAGGCAGUUUGUGCAACACAGCAGCACCUUGCAUUGGCUUUGUUUGUUCCCCAGCUUGUACUUGGGUCAGCAGGAUAAUAUCUUAAUUGCCAGAUCAUGAGAAAGGAAAUGUGAGAGCAGAAUUAAAGGACCAGACCCGAUAGCAGUGAGUGUUUGAGUCAGGCUAUUUCAGCCGCCUUCCUGAUGGCUGAACUCACAGGGCUGUAGUGCUGCAAGCAGCACAGCAGCAGAUAGGGAUGAUUUCCAAACAGCAGUUCAUGAGCAUGCAAUCAUGAAAAGUUGCAUUUAACCCAUCGUUGUUUAAGUCACAAUGAUUUAACACCUACAACACGUUCAUCCUAUGUAAUUCCCGUUAGCUGUGUUCAGAACUCAUUAUGUCAUUCCAAACCCUUUCAAAGUCCCCAGUCGCCACAAUGAAUGCAUCCCCU
This 1110-nucleotide long non-coding RNA is filed under the name Gallus gallus (chicken). Its description in RNAcentral is "lncRNA (ENSGALG00010002545.1)". The record is from RNAcentral. Lineage: Eukaryota; Metazoa; Chordata; Aves; Galliformes; Phasianidae.